This is a long non-coding RNA of Mangifera indica (mango), 782 nucleotides long. RefSeq lists it as uncharacterized. Lineage: Eukaryota; Viridiplantae; Streptophyta; Magnoliopsida; Sapindales; Anacardiaceae. The transcript has 4 exons. The record is from RefSeq and is a predicted model, not a curated record.
GGUGAACAGUGAGCUUCCAAAAUGGUGAAUGGUGAAUGGUGAACGACAAGUACAAAGGCGACGACAAUAACACUGACAACAACGUCCUCAAAAGUGAAGGAAGUAAUAUUUCUACUAAAGGACAACCAAAACGGUUUUGUGUUGUUGGUUUUUGAACCAACAACAUUAGCGACAAAGCUAGUGUUUUUUCUUGUUGUUUGAAGCAACCACGAGAACAAAGAUUACUACAAUUGAGCGCUAUAGAAGUUAUUUCGUGUCGUUGAGGCCAAGAAAGCCCAGAAGGAGUGCGCCGAAUGAAGAAUGAAAGAGAAAACAAGUGUCCACACUUCAUUGUAGCCUCUGCUAUAGGAUGAGACAUAACAAAAGGUAUACAAAUAGAAAGAAAUCAGAAGAGAAGAACAAUUCUGACUAUGACAACACUGUCUGCAAGGUCUUUGCAGAAGCUUCAUUUCCAAACAACCUUCAUGAAGCAAACAAAAAUGCAGCAGGUCUCUUAAUGAAGUUUCUGCAUACUACCUGUUUCUGUACAGUGAGUAGAAUUCAGGUUUUGAUGAUGAAGUUUGGAUGAUAUAGAAUCCUGUUUUGCUGAUGGAAAAGGCUGCAAAGUGGACAAAAUGUGGUUUAUUUAGAAGUUUUGAUGAAGGGGAGGGCUUUUUUUUUAUUUUUUGAUGAUGGACGGAAUUGGUUCAUUUUAUGUAAAACAAACUUGAUGUCUGCACUUUGAAUCUUUUGCUGCGGAAAUUACAUGUGCUGGAAAUUACAUGUGAUGCAUUUUAUGUAAA